Molecule: long non-coding RNA, 1314 nt
Organism: Chinchilla lanigera (long-tailed chinchilla)
Lineage: Eukaryota; Metazoa; Chordata; Mammalia; Rodentia; Chinchillidae
Source: Ensembl
GGAUGAUGGGUGUGAGGGGUCUGAGGAGAAUCCAGGAGGGCUGCUAGUGGCCAGUAUCUUGACUGAAGUGUUAAGUACAUAAGUAGGUCUGUUUCAUUAUAGCUAUUGAAUAGCUGUAUAGUCAGCCUUAAAUCUCCGUGACAAAAUACCUGAGAAAACCAAUUUAAAGGAGGAAGGCUUUUUUUUUUUUUUUAGCUCAUUUACGGAAAGGUUUCUGUCUAUGGUCAUUUGGUCCUGUUGUUUUUGGCCUAGAACAGCACGUGACAUCAUGGCAGAGAAUGUGUGGCAGAGGUGCUGCUCACCUCAUGACUGCCAGAAAACACGGAAAGAGAGAAGGGGCAGGGAUCACAAUGAUCCCUUGAGGGCACACCUCCUGUCAUAGUUAGGUGUGGUGUCGAGUAAAAAACACCCAAUUGACUGGCUUCGCACAGUUCUGGGUGGGACUGAAUGGAUUUAAUCAAGACCCACCCUGGGUGUGAGUGAUACCAACCAAUAGGUUUGUCUCCUGGAUGGAAUAAAAAGGGAAAGAAGAAGGAAAGCUCAUUUCUGUUUCUUCAGAGGAGCUCCAGUCUUUGCUAUCACCUUGGAUGUCCAUCUCCCGGCUUCCAGCGAACUAUUCAGCUUCCUGAUACGGAGUCACACAGGCCUCUGAGGAUCCCACAGCUGAAGAUCUACUUCAGUCUUCAGGCAAUAGCAAAGAGAUGAACCCCUACUUUGAGACACUUGAAGAAAUUGAAGACUUCCUGCAGGACUUCUCCAAUCCCUAUGAGGAGCACGUGGAAGCUCAGUCUAUGCCUGCGCCACACCUCUGCGUGCCUCAGACAGCUGGUGGUGAAAGCAGCCAGCAGGGCUCAGGCCAGAGCCAGGUGGUGCCACCCUUGAUGCCCUUGGAGAUGACUUGUGAAUGCUGUGAUAUCCCUGAGAGUGUCCUCACACCAAAUUCAGCAACACCCCCCAGUGAGGUCGAGGAAGCAGUCCUUCGUGAACUCAUUGAGAUUUUGGAUGAGAACAGCCAAGCAACGUCCCAUGAACAGGUCCACCCCACAGCAGACUACCAGAACACCCAUGUCACUGGCACCCCAGAGAUAUCACUCACUGACUGCCAGAAGACACAUGAUGCUGCAAGCAUGGGUGAGUGCAUGUAUAUAGAAUUGAGUUAGAGUGAAUGUCAACAUGGGAACUGUAUGAUCUGAAGCUUACAAAACUUUAUCAGAGAAGACAAGGGGAUUGAGAAAAUAUACAAGUAAGUUUCAUGAAACCCUGACCUGGGAUUUGAGAAAAAGACAUGAUAAUUAAGAUGCAAAUUUUUUAAGA